This is a non-coding RNA of Pelobates cultripes (western spadefoot toad), 365 nucleotides long. Lineage: Eukaryota; Metazoa; Chordata; Amphibia; Anura; Pelobatidae. The record is from the annotation of a GenBank genome assembly.
GUGAUAGCUUAAUUGAAAGAAAACACAUGACUUGAAUAUAAGUUGUAACUCCCAAAUGUCCUGGCACAGUCACAACAAAACGAUACCAGAGAAAGUCACAGCAAAAAACAAACAAUGCAAGACAACUGCAAGCCAUUUCUUUCCGUAUAUUACAACGCUUCUGCAGUGCUCUUGGCAUGCACUGGACCCCCUGGACACAAACUGACACACACACAGAUGCACAGACACACAGAUACAAACACUAUCACACAGUUGUCUCAGGCCAACAGAGCACUGCUCGCUCACUGAUUGGCUAAUACUGUGUUUGCUUGUUAUUGAAUUCCGAUUGGUGGGUGGUGUUUUUGUACAAGCUCACAUCAGCAUGC